GAUGAACGCUAGCGGCAGGCUUAACACAUGCAAGUCGAGGGGCAGCAGGGAUUUAGCUUGCUAAAUUCGCUGGCGACCGGCGCACGGGUGCGUAACGCGUAUCCAACUUUCCCGUUACUCUCGGAUAGCCUUCCGAAAGGGAGAUUAAUACGAGAUGGUGUUCUAAUUCCGCAUGUUAUUAGAACUAAAGAUUUAUCGGUAACGGAUAGGGAUGCGUGACAUUAGAUAGUUGGCGGGGUAACGGCCCACCUAGCCGACGAUCCUUAGGGGUUCUGAGAGGAAGGUCCCCCACACUGGAACUGAGACACGGUCCAGACUCCUACGGGAGGCAGCAGUGAGGAAUAUUGGUCAAUGGGCGCGAGCCUGAACCAGCCAAGUAGCGUGAAGGAUGACUGCCCUACGGGUUGUAAACUUCUUUUGUUUGGGAAUAAAUGAUACUACGUGUAGUAUUUUGCAUGUACCUUACGAAUAAGCAUCGGCUAAUUCCGUGCCAGCAGCCGCGGU
RNAcentral lists this ribosomal RNA (504 nucleotides) under uncultured bacterium. RNAcentral describes it as "bacterial SSU rRNA". It matches the Rfam family "Bacterial small subunit ribosomal RNA", at positions 28 to 521 of the family's 1533-position model. The record is from RNAcentral.